RNAcentral lists this ribosomal RNA (491 nucleotides) under uncultured bacterium. RNAcentral's name for it is "partial 16S ribosomal RNA". It matches the Rfam family "Bacterial small subunit ribosomal RNA", at positions 29 to 507 of the family's 1533-position model. The record is from RNAcentral.
AGUGAACGCUGGCGGUAGGCCUAACACAUGCAAGUCGAACGGCAGCACAGUAAGAGCUUGCUCUUACGGGUGGCGAGUGGCGGACGGGUGAGGAAUACAUCGGAAUCUACUUUUUCGUGGGGGAUAACGUAGGGAAACUUACGCUAAUACCGCAUACGACCUACGGGUGAAAGCAGGGGAUCUUCGGACCUUGCGCGAUUGAAUGAGCCGAUGUCGGAUUAGCUAGUUGGCGGGGUAAGGCCCACCAAGGCGACGAUCCGUAGCUGGUCUGAGAGGAUGAUCGGCCACACUGGAACUGAGACACGGUCCAGACUCCUACGGGAGGCAGCAGUGGGGAAUAUUGGACAAUGGGCGCAAGCCUGAUCCAGCCAUACCGCGUGGGUGAAGAAGGCCUUCGGGUUGUAAAGCCCUUUUGUUGGGAAAGAAAAGCAGCAGGUUAAUACCCCGCUGUUCUGACGGUACCCAAAGAAUAAGCACCGGCUAACUUCGUG